This 255-nucleotide ribosomal RNA is filed under the name uncultured bacterium. RNAcentral's name for it is "partial 16S ribosomal RNA". It matches the Rfam family "Bacterial small subunit ribosomal RNA", at positions 522 to 776 of the family's 1533-position model. The record is from RNAcentral.
UACGGGGGGGGGGCAAGCGUUGUUCGGACUUACUGGGCGUAAAGGGCUCGUAGGUGGCCACCUAAGUCAGACGUGAAAUCCCUCGGCUUAACCGGGGAACUGCGUCUGAUACUGGAUGGCUUGAGUUCGGGAGAGGGAUGCGGAAUUCCAGGUGUAGCGGUGAAAUGCGUAGAUAUCGGGAGGAACAUCAGUGGCGAAGGCGGCCCUCUGGUCCAGUACUGACACUCAAGUGCGAAAGCGUGGGGAGCAAACAGG